AUUGAACGCUGGCGGCAUGCUUUACACAUGCAAGUCGAACGGUAACAGGCCGCAGGGUGCUGACGAGUGGCGAACGGGUGAGUAAUGCAUCGGAACGUGCCCAGUCGUGGGGGAUAACUCAUCGAAAGAGUAGCUAAUACCGCAUACGAUCUGUGGAUGAAAGCGGGGGACCGUGAGGCAUUGUUUGGUCUGGUGGGCUGGGAUCGGCUGAUGUAGGAUUAGGUAGUUGGUGGGGUAAAGCCCAACCAAGGCAACGAUCGGUAGCUGGUCUGAGAGGACGACCAGCCACACUGGGACUGAGACACGGCCCAGACUCCUACGGGAGGCAGCAGUGGGGAAUUUUGGACAAUGGGCGCAAGCCUGAUCCAGCAAUGCCGCGUGCAGGAAGAAGGCCUUCGGGUUGUAAACUGCUUUUGUAAGGAACGAAACGGUUUCGGCUAAUACCCGGCGCUAAUGACGGUACCGUAAGAAUAAGCACCGGCUAACUACGUG
Molecule: ribosomal RNA, 492 nt
Filed under: uncultured bacterium
Lineage: Bacteria
Description: partial 16S ribosomal RNA
Rfam family: Bacterial small subunit ribosomal RNA
Source: RNAcentral